Molecule: long non-coding RNA, 1181 nt
Organism: Helianthus annuus (common sunflower)
Lineage: Eukaryota; Viridiplantae; Streptophyta; Magnoliopsida; Asterales; Asteraceae
Exons: 3
Source: RefSeq, a predicted model, not a curated record
UAGCCAUGGGGUUUGUGGUUACAGCUGUUAACUUUCAUUGUAACUCGGAUCUUGCUUGCUUUUGAAUACAAAAAGGCCCUUCUGUCUACCUUGGAACUUGCAGCAGUAAGGUAUGGACCAUAAAUUUAUGAUCGAAUACAUGUUUUGGUCCGACCGCCCGCCAGCCGUUACCCGCCGCCCAGGCUAACCAUCUCGCCUGAAAGAGGUAAGCUACUGAUUUGAAAUGCUUUGAUACUUACAGUUAUCUUUUUAACCAUAGAUGUUUCUAAUUCGAAUACAUGUUUUGGUCCGAUUUGAUUUAAUUGAUUUUGUGAUUUAGUAGAUUUAGCCAUGGGGUUUGUGGUUACAUCUCUUAACUUUCAUUGUAACUCGGAUCUUGCUUGCUUUUGAAUACAAAAAGGCCCUUCUGUCAACCUGUAUGCUUCCAUUUUUUUGUUUUUGCUUCAUAUUUAGUAAUAGUUUUGUUGUUUUUGUGAUGAAGGUUAUUUUGGUGGACCUGUAUUCGAUUUAAUCCCUAUCAACGUUCCUAAUACAAUCCUGAUUUGAAUAUUGAUAACUAUUUAGUGUUUUGUUGUGUGAGGAUCUAGAAGUAUACGUUUUCUACUGAAAUUGGUUUAAUUAUACAACCAUACAAGCAUGGCUGAGGUUCUAGCGUAUUUCACGCAAACAUUGAUACCUGUUUCGAAACCGACAUGGACAUCCAAUCUUAGCUCUGAAGAUGUGUUGUCCGAAGUCGUGUUAUAUACCACGCAACCAUCAAUACCGGAGUGGACGGAGCGUGUCUGGGGUCCAUACCGGCGAAGACGGAGCGUAUCUGGAUCUUUAUCCCCCAUGCCUAACCAGUUUCUAAGAGGGUGAUCCCAGCAUUAGUUUUUGAUUCCCACGAACAUCCCAUAAAGGUUCUGGUUCUAUAAAUGGCUUCGACCUCAUCUCUAAAGACGAAAUAACAUAAAUAUGUCUAAUAGUUAAUAUAGAGGUAAAGAGGUGUGCAAAUGUGCCAGUUCGGUAAAUUUUUAAGCUGUAGCUGUAUCUGUGCCCGCUAGGUUUGUUUAAGAAAUUUUCUUAAACAUAACUGGACCUCGGUUCGGUUAAUGGCGAUUAUGAGAUUCGGUUAUGGUUCGGUUUAGGUUGGUUUUAGUUCCUUAACCAAUCUAACUUUGAACUCAAUUUAAAAUAAAUAA